This 458-nucleotide ribosomal RNA is filed under the name uncultured bacterium. Its description in RNAcentral is "bacterial SSU rRNA". It matches the Rfam family "Bacterial small subunit ribosomal RNA", at positions 37 to 518 of the family's 1533-position model. The record is from RNAcentral.
UGGCGGCGUGCCUAACACAUGCAAGUCGAGCGAUGAACCUUCGGGUGGAUAGCGGCGGACGGGUGAGUAACACGUGGGUAACCUGCCUCAAAGAGGGGGAUAGCCUCCCGAAAGGAGAUUAAUACCGCAUAACAUUAUUUUUUCGCAUGAAGAGAUAAUCAAAGGAGUAAUCCGCUUUGAGAUGGACCCGCGGCGCAUUAGCUAGUUGGUUAGGUAAUGGCUCACCAAGGCAACGAUGCGUAGCCGACCUGAGAGGGUGAUCGGCCACAUUGGAACUGAGAUACGGUCCAGACUCCUACGGGAGGCAGCAGUGGGGAAUAUUGCGCAAUGGGGGAAACCCUGACGCAAGCAACGCCGCGUGGGUGAAGAAGGCCUUCGGGUUGUAAAGCUCUGUCUUCUGGGACGAUAAUGACGGUACCAGAGGAGGAAGCCACGGCUAACUACGUGCCAGCAGCAGC